This 36-nucleotide small RNA is filed under the name Romboutsia ilealis. RNAcentral describes it as "CRISPR spacer". Lineage: Bacteria; Bacillati; Bacillota; Clostridia; Peptostreptococcales; Peptostreptococcaceae. The record is from RNAcentral.
AGUUGCAACUUUUGUAUUUUCUUCACUUGUAAAUAC